AGCGAACGCUGGCGGUAGGCCUAACACAUGCAAGUCGAACGGCAGCACAGUAAGAGCUUGCACUUACGGGUGGCGAGAGGCGGACGGGUGAGGAAUACAACGGAAUCUACUUUUUCGUGGGGGAUAACGUAGGGAAACUUACGCUAAUACAGCAUACGACCUACGGGUGAAAGCAGGGGAACUUCGGACCUUGCGCGAUUGAAUGAGCCGAUGCCGGACUAGCUAGUUGGCGGGGUAAAGACCCACUAAGGCGACGAUCCGUAGCUGGUCUGAGAGGAGGGUCGCCCGCCCUGGAACUGGACCACGGUCCAUGCUCCUGCGAGAGGGAGCAGUCGGCAAUGUUAGGCAAUGGGCGCAAGCCUGAUCCAGCCAUACCGCGUGUGUUAAGGAGGCCUUCCGUUUGUGAAGCCCGUUUGUUGGGAGAGAAAAUCAUCCGGCUGAUACCCCGCUGUUGUGACGGUACCCGAAGAAUAAGCACCGGCUAACUUCGUG
RNAcentral lists this ribosomal RNA (492 nucleotides) under uncultured bacterium. Its description in RNAcentral is "partial 16S ribosomal RNA". It matches the Rfam family "Bacterial small subunit ribosomal RNA", at positions 29 to 507 of the family's 1533-position model. The record is from RNAcentral.